RNAcentral lists this ribosomal RNA (454 nucleotides) under uncultured bacterium. RNAcentral describes it as "partial 16S ribosomal RNA". It matches the Rfam family "Bacterial small subunit ribosomal RNA", at positions 28 to 507 of the family's 1533-position model. The record is from RNAcentral.
GAUGAACGCUGCCAGAAUGCUUAACACAUGCAAGUCAACUUGAACUUCGGUUUGGGUGGCGGACGGGUGAGUAACGCGUAAAGAACUUGCCUCACAGCUAGGGACAACAUUUGGAAACGAAUGCUAAUACCUGAUAUUAUGAUUUUAGGGCAUCCUAGAAUUAUGAAAGCUAUAUGCGCUGUGAGAGAGCUUUGCGUCCCAUUAGCUAGUUGGAGAGGUAACGGCUCACCAAGGCGAUGAUGGGUAGCCGGCCUGAGAGGGUGAACGGCCACAAGGGGACUGAGACACGGCCCUUACUCCUACGGGAGGCAGCAGUGGGGAAUAUUGGACAAUGGACCAAGAGUCUGAUCCAGCAAUUCUGUGUGCACGAUGAAGUUUUUCGGAAUGUAAAGUGCUUUCAGUUGGGAAGAAAAAAAUGACGGUACCAACAGAAGAAGUGACGGCUAAAUACGUG